GGGGAAUAUUGCACAAUGGGCGCAAGCCUGAUGCAGCCAUGCCGCGUGUAUGAAGAAGGCCUUCGGGUUGUAAAGUACUUUCAGCGGGGAGGAAGGGAGUAAAGUUAAUACCUUUGCUCAUUGACGUUACCCGCAGAAGAAGCCCCGGCUAACUACGUGCCAGCAGCCGCGGUAAUACGUAGGGGGCAAGCGUUAUCCGGAUUUACUGGGUGUAAAGGGAGCGUAGACGGCAAGGCAAGUCUGAUGUGAAAACCCGGGGCUCAACCCCGGGACUGCAUUGGAAACUGUCAAUCUAGAGUACCGGAGAGGUAAGCGGAAUUCCUAGUGUAGCGGUGAAAUGCGUAGAGAUCUGGAGGAAUACCGGUGGCGAAGGCGGCCCCCUGGACGAAGACUGACGCUCAGGUGCGAAAGCGUGGGGAGCAAACAGGAUUAGAUACCCUGGUAGUCCACGCCGUAAACGAUGUCGACUUGGAGGUUGUGCCCUUGAGGCGUGGCUUCCGGAGCUAACGCGUUAAGUCGACCGCCUGGGGAGUACGGCCGCAAGGUUAAAACUCAAAUGAAUUGACGGGGGCCCGCACAAGCGGUGGAGCAUGUGGUUUAAUUCGAUGCAACGCGAAGAACCUUACCUGGUCUUGACAUCCACGGAAGUUUUCAGAGAUGAGAAUGUGCCUUCGGGAACCGUGAGACAGGUGCUGCAUGGCUGUCGUCAGCUCGUGUUGUGAAAUGUUGGGUUAAGUCCCGCAACGAGCGCAACCCUUAUCCUUUGUUGCCAGCGGUCCGGCCGGGAACUCAAAGGAGACUGCCAGUGAUAAACUGGAGGAAGGUGGGGAUGACGUCAAGUCAUCAUGGCCCUUACGACCAGGGCUACACACGUGCUACAAUGGCGCAUACAAAGAGAAGCGACCUCGCGAGAGCAAGCGGACCUCAUAAAGUGCGUCGUAGUCCGGAUUGGAGUCUGCAACUCGACUACAUGAAGCUGGAAUCGCUAGUAAUCGCGAAUCAGCAUGUCGCGGUGAAUACGUUCCCG
This 1027-nucleotide ribosomal RNA is filed under the name uncultured bacterium. Its description in RNAcentral is "bacterial SSU rRNA". It matches the Rfam family "Bacterial small subunit ribosomal RNA", at positions 356 to 1376 of the family's 1533-position model. The record is from RNAcentral.